GAAUUGCAUUUGUGACUGCACGGCUAGAGUGUGUCAGAGGGGGGUAGAAUUCCACGUGUAGCAGUGAAAUGCGUAGAGAUGUGGAGGAAUACCGAUGGCGAAGGCAGCCCCCUGGGAUAACACUGACGCUGAGGCACGAAAGCGUGGGGAGCAAACAGGAUUAGAUACCCUGGUAGUCCACGCCCUAAACGAUGUCUACUAGUUGUCGGGUCUUAAUUGACUUGG
This 225-nucleotide ribosomal RNA is filed under the name Herbaspirillum seropedicae. RNAcentral's name for it is "partial 16S ribosomal RNA". It matches the Rfam family "Bacterial small subunit ribosomal RNA", at positions 618 to 843 of the family's 1533-position model. The record is from RNAcentral. Lineage: Bacteria; Pseudomonadati; Pseudomonadota; Betaproteobacteria; Burkholderiales; Oxalobacteraceae.